RNAcentral lists this ribosomal RNA (492 nucleotides) under uncultured bacterium. RNAcentral describes it as "partial 16S ribosomal RNA". It matches the Rfam family "Bacterial small subunit ribosomal RNA", at positions 29 to 507 of the family's 1533-position model. The record is from RNAcentral.
AGUGAACGCUGGCGGUAUGCCUAACACAUGCAAGUCGAACGGCAGCACAGUAAGAGCUUGCUCUUACGGGUGGCGAGUGGCGGACGGGUGAGGCAUACAUCGGAAUCUACUUUUUCGUGGGGGAUAACGUAGGGAAACUUCCGCUAAUACCUCAUACGACCUACGGCUGAAAGCAGGGGAUCUUCGGACCUUGCCCGAUUCAAUUAGCCGAUGCCGGAUUAGCUAGUUGGCUGGGUAAAGGCCCACCAAGGCAACGAUCCGUAGCUGGUCUGAGAGGAUGAUCAGCCACACUGGAACUGAGACACGGUCCAGACUCCUACGGGAGGCAGCAGUGGGGAAUAUUGGACAAUGGGCGCAAGCCUGAUCCAGCCAUACCGCGUGAGUGAAGAAGGCCUUCGGGUUGUAAAGCCCUUUUGUUGGGAAAGAAAAGAAGCAGGUUAAUACCCCGCUGUUCUGACGGUACCCAAAGAAUAAGCACCGGCUAACUUCGUG